UACAGAGGUGGCAAGCGUUGUUCGGAAUUACUGGGCGUAAAGGGCGCGUAGGCGGCCAUCUAAGUCAGACGUGAAAUCCCGGGGCUCAACCCCGGAACUGCAUUCGAUACUGCCAGGCUGGAGUACUGGAGAGGAGAUUGGAAUUUACGGUGUAGCAGUGAAAUGCGUAGAUAUCGUAAGGAAGACCAGUGGCGAAGGCGGAUCUCUGGACAGUUACUGACACUGAGGCACGAAGGCCAGGGGAGCAAACGGG
This 253-nucleotide ribosomal RNA is filed under the name uncultured bacterium. RNAcentral's name for it is "partial 16S ribosomal RNA". It matches the Rfam family "Bacterial small subunit ribosomal RNA", at positions 524 to 776 of the family's 1533-position model. The record is from RNAcentral.